Molecule: ribosomal RNA, 1435 nt
Filed under: uncultured bacterium
Lineage: Bacteria
Description: bacterial SSU rRNA
Rfam family: Bacterial small subunit ribosomal RNA
Source: RNAcentral
GAGUUUGAUCCUGGCUCAGAACGUACGCUGGCGGCACGCCUAAUACAUGCAAGUCGAACGAAGUAGCAAUACUUAGUGGCAGACGGGUGAGUAACAUGUGGGUAUCUUCCCUUUGGUGAGGAAUAACACGAGGAAACUUGUGCUAAUACCUCAUAAGUCUUUACGGAGAAAGCUUUAUGCGCCAUUGGAUGAGCCCGCACUUGAUUAGUUUGUUGGUGGGGUAAUGGCCUACCAAGACUGUGAUCAAUAGCUGAUUUGAGAGGAUGAUCAGCCACAUUGGGACUGAGACACGGCCCAAACUCCUACGGGAGGCAGCAGUAGGGAAUCUUGCACAAUGGAGGAAACUCUGAUGCAGCGAUGCCGCGUGAGUGAAGAAGGCCUUUGGGUUGUAAAGCUCUUUCGUCGGGGAAGAAAAUGACUGUACCCGAAUAAGAAGGUCCGGCUAACUUCGUGCCAGCAGCCGCGGUAAUACGAAGGGACCUAGCGUAGUUCGGAAUUACUGGGCUUAAAGAGUUCGUAGGUGGUUAAAAUAGUUGGUGGUGAAAUCCCAGAGCUUAACUCUGGAACUGCCAUCAAAACUUUUUAGCUAGAGUAUGAUAGAGGAAAGCAGAAUUUCUAGUGUAGAGGUGAAAUUCGUAGAUAUUAGAAAGAAUACCGAUUGCGAAGGCAGCUUUCUGGAUCAUUACUGACACUGAGGAACGAAAGCAUGGGUAGCGAAGAGGAUUAGAUACCCUCGUAGUCCAUGCCGUAAACGAUGUGUGUUAGACGUUGGAAAUUUAUUUUUCAGUGUCGCAGCGAAAGCGAUAAACACACCGCCUGGGGAGUACGACCGCAAGGUUAAAACUCAAAUGAAUUGACGGGGACCCGCACAAGUAGUGGAGCAUGUGGUUUAAUUCGAAGAUACGCGCAGAACCUUACCAACACUUGACAUGUUCGUCGCGACUCUAAGAGAUUAGAGUUUUCGGUUCGGCCGGACGAAACACAGGUGCUGCAUGGCUGUCGUCAGCUCGUGUCGUGAGAUGUUGGGUUAAGUCCCGCAACGAGCGCAACCCUCACUUUUAGUUGCCAUCAUUAAGUUGGGCACUCUGAAAGAACUGCCAGUGAUAAGCUGGAGGAAGGUGGGGAUGACGUCAAGUCCUCAUGGCCCUUACGUGUUGGGCUACACACGUGCUACAAUGGCAUUUACAAUAGGAAGCAAAAUGGCGACAUCAAGCAAAUCCUAAAAAAAUGCCUCAGUUCGGAUUGUACUCUGCAACUCGAGUACAUGAAGCUGGAAUUACUAGUAAUCGCGGAUCAGCGCGCCGCGGUGAAUACGUUCCCGGGUCUUGUACACACCGCCCGUCACACCAUGGGAGUUGGUUCUACCUUAAGGCAAAGUUUAAAACCUUUGACCACGGUAUAGUCAGCGACUGGGGUGAAGUCGUAACAAGGUAGC